GACGAACGCUGGCGGCGUGCUUAACACAUGCAAGUCGAACGGAAAGGCCCCUUUGGGGGUACUCGAGUGGCGAACGGGUGAGUAACACGUGAGUAACCUGCCCUUGACUUCGGGAUAACUUCAGGAAACUGGGGCUAAUACCGGAUAGGAAUCCUUGCUGCAUGGUGGGGGUUGGAAAGCUUCGGCGGUUUUGGAUGGACUCGCGGCUUAUCAGCUUGUUGGUGGGGUAGUGGCUUACCAAGGCUUUGACGGGUAGCCGGCCUGAGAGGGCGACCGGCCACAUUGGGACUGAGAUACGGCCCAGACUCCUACGGGAGGCAGCAGUGGGGAAUAUUGCACAAUGGUCGGAAGCCUGAUGCAGCAACGCCGCGUGCGGGAUGACGGCCUUCGGGUUGUAAACCGCUUUCAGCAGGGGCGAAGCUUGUGGUGACGGUACCUGCAGAAGAAGCACCGGCUAACUACGU
RNAcentral lists this ribosomal RNA (464 nucleotides) under uncultured bacterium. RNAcentral describes it as "partial 16S ribosomal RNA". It matches the Rfam family "Bacterial small subunit ribosomal RNA", at positions 28 to 506 of the family's 1533-position model. The record is from RNAcentral.